This 72-nucleotide transfer RNA is filed under the name Camelus bactrianus (Bactrian camel). It matches the Rfam family "tRNA". Rfam says of the family: Transfer RNA (tRNA) molecules are approximately 80 nucleotides in length. Their secondary structure includes four short double-helical elements and three loops (D, anti-codon, and T loops). Further hydrogen bonds mediate the characteristic L-shaped molecular structure. tRNAs have two regions of fundamental functional importance: the anti-codon, which is responsible for specific mRNA codon recognition, and the 3' end, to which the tRNAs corresponding amino acid is attached (by aminoacyl-tRNA synthetases). tRNAs cope with the degeneracy of the genetic code in two manners: having more than one tRNA (with a specific anti-codon) for a particular amino acid; and 'wobble' base-pairing, i.e. permitting non-standard base-pairing at the 3rd anti-codon position. RNAcentral also lists the same sequence under 2 other names. Lineage: Eukaryota; Metazoa; Chordata; Mammalia; Artiodactyla; Camelidae. The record is from Rfam by way of RNAcentral.
GAGAGUACAGCUCAGUAGUAGAGUGCGUGCUCAGCAUGCAUGAGGUCGUGGGUUCAAUCCCCGGUACUUUCA